AUUGAACGCUGGCGGCAGGCCUAACACAUGCAAGUCGAACGAGUGGCGGACGGGUGAGUAAUGUCUGGGAAACUGCCUGAUGGAGGGGGAUAACUACUGGAAACGGUAGCUAAUACCGCAUACCAUCAGAUGUGCCCAUAUGGGAUUAGCUUGUUGGUGGGGUAACGGCUCACCAAGGCUACGAUUCCUAGCUGGUCUUAGAGGAUGACCAGCCACACUGGAACUGAGACACGGGCCAGACUCCUACGGGAGGCAGCAGUGGGGAUUAUUGAACAAUGGUCGCAAGCCUGAUGCAGCCAUGCCGAGUGUAGGAAGAAGGCCUUAGGGUUGUAAAGUACUCUCAGCGGGGAGGCGUUACCCGCAGAAGAAGCACCUGCUAACUCCGUGCCAACAGCCGCGGUAAUUC
RNAcentral lists this ribosomal RNA (406 nucleotides) under uncultured bacterium. RNAcentral describes it as "partial 16S ribosomal RNA". It matches the Rfam family "Bacterial small subunit ribosomal RNA", at positions 30 to 526 of the family's 1533-position model. The record is from RNAcentral.